RNAcentral lists this unclassified non-coding RNA (622 nucleotides) under Hevea brasiliensis (rubber tree). Lineage: Eukaryota; Viridiplantae; Streptophyta; Magnoliopsida; Malpighiales; Euphorbiaceae. The record is from RNAcentral.
GCGCAAUCGUCUUCGUCAGUUACCAGCUGAUCAUUUGAUGAUGCAACCACGCUGGCUCUGGACGGUCUGAUACGGUUCUGAAAUUGCUCAAGCGCUGCUCUUCUUGCCGUUGCCAAACAAGAAAGACAAGUUUGGCUUUGCCAGGGUACGCUUCAGAGCCUUCACUGCCAGUGGACUGUCCUUAGCCAUGAGGCAGGUUCCCUGCUGAACAUUGCAGAUGGGGUACUCGUGAGGGCAGCAGCUGUAGUGAUCAUCGCAGCAGGUGGCGCCCUCGAGUGGGCAGCAGCCCCAGGCGUAGCAGUAUUUGCCAUACUCGUAGAUGCAGCAGCAGGUGGUGCUAUCGGGGCAAGUGUAGUAGUUGUCGCAGACGGUGGGAGGCGGGGUUGGGGACGGCGGAGUAGGGCCGGGGUUCGGGGGGUUCUCGCCCUUCUUCAGAGGGUAGGAUGGCUCAACGGCAAUGCCGCACUUGCCACUGCUCGCCUUGAUGUUGCGCUCCAUACGGACGUAGCCGGACUCACCCCAGCUCUUGCCCCACGAGUUCCUCACGAUCCAGUAGUCCUUGCCAUUCUCUGUGCCGUACCCAACAGCAGCGACGCCGUGGUCUAGUGCUGUUCCACAUUUA